RNAcentral lists this ribosomal RNA (400 nucleotides) under uncultured bacterium. RNAcentral's name for it is "bacterial SSU rRNA". It matches the Rfam family "Bacterial small subunit ribosomal RNA", at positions 356 to 773 of the family's 1533-position model. The record is from RNAcentral.
GGGGAAUAUUGGACAAUGGGGGCAACCCUGAUCCAGCAAUGCCGCGUGAAUGAUGAAGGCCUUAGGGUUGUAAAGUUCUUUUAUUGAUGACGAUAAUGACGGUAAUCAAUGAAUAAGCACCGGCUAACUUCGUGCCAGCAGCCGCGGUAAUACGAAGGGUGCUAGCGUUGUUCGGAAUGACUGGGCGUAAAGGGUGCGUAGGCGGCCAGAAACGUCUGAUGUGAAAUCCCUGGGCUUAACCUAGGAACUGCAUUGGAUACGGUCUGGCUAGAGUCCGCGAGAGGAAGAUGGAAUUGUGCGUGUAGAGGUGAAAUUCGUAGAUAUGCACAAGAACACCGGUGGCGAAGGCGAUCUUCUGGAGCGGUACUGACGCUAAGGCACGAAAGUGUGGGGAGCAAAC